AUUAUAUAUAUCGGAAAACGAUGGGAGAGGACGGGAGAAAGGAAUGGCUUCCUGGUUUUGCAGAAGCAAUUCCGACAGCCGCCAUUUCUGUAUUCUGAGUGACUCGAGACUCGAACAUAUGCUAACGUUGUCUCGACGUCUGAAUUUCUCGUGACUAACUUGUUCACUCGGUUAGAACAAAUGUCGCACAAUCGCUAUCCUCUUAUUGUAAGAGUGCGAUCGUAACAGUGACUCAAGACCCAAACAUAUGCUGACGUUGUCUCGAUGUCCGAAUUUCUCGUGACUGACUUCUUCGCUUGGUUAGAACGAGUGCCACACAAUCGCUAUCCUGCUAUUGUAAGAGUGUGAUUGUAACAGGUAAAAAUAAUUAUUCUUUAUUGAAUAUGAUAUUCAUUCUCUUAUAAAUUAUUAUAAAUUAACGUCGAAAGUAUAAUAGGAUAGGAUAAUGAUUUGAAAUGAAUUAAUCAUAUUAUAUAUAUUUUAUAGAUUAAUUAACAAAAUUAAAAUAAUAGGAUGGUGGUAUUGAGUAUUAAUACCCUAAUAAUUUGAAUGAAGAACAUGGUUAGUGUGGCUAUAAGUUCAAAAAUUCACCAAAUUAAA
Molecule: long non-coding RNA, 600 nt
Organism: Cucurbita moschata (crookneck pumpkin)
Lineage: Eukaryota; Viridiplantae; Streptophyta; Magnoliopsida; Cucurbitales; Cucurbitaceae
Exons: 3
Source: RefSeq, a predicted model, not a curated record